This 165-nucleotide ribosomal RNA is filed under the name uncultured bacterium. RNAcentral's name for it is "partial 16S ribosomal RNA". It matches the Rfam family "Bacterial small subunit ribosomal RNA", at positions 1336 to 1500 of the family's 1533-position model. The record is from RNAcentral.
UAGUAAUCGCGAAUCAGAAUGUCGCGGUGAAUACGUUCCCGGGUCUUGUACACACCGCCCGUCACACCAUGGGAGUCGGAUAUGCCCGAAGUCAGUGACCCAACCAUAUGGAGGGAGCUGCCGAAGGUGGAGCCGAUAACUGGGGUGAAGUCGUAACAAGGUAUC